UUUUCCGGUUGAUCCCGCCGGAGGUCACUGCUAUUGGGAUUCGAUUAAGCCAUGCGAGUCGAGAGGGUUCGGCCCUCGGCUGACGGCUCAGUAACACGUGGAUAAUCUGCCCUAAGGUGGAGGAUAACCUCGGGAAACUGAGAAUAAUACUCCAUAGGUCUAGGAGGCUGGAAUGCACCUAGGCUAAAAGUCUUGACGCCUUAGGAUGAGUCUGCGGACUAUCAGGUUGUAGUCAGGGUAAAGACCUGACUAGCCUACGACGGAUACGGGUUGUGAGAGCAAUAACCCGGAGAUGAUAUCUGAGACACGAUAUCAGGCCCUACGGGGCGCAGCAGGCGCGAAACCUUCACACUGCGCGAAAGCGUGAUGAGGGAAUCCCAAGUGUAUGCACGUAAGUGUAUACUGUUUCUAUGUUUAAAAAGCAUUGAGAGUAAGGGCCGGGCAAG
Molecule: ribosomal RNA, 446 nt
Filed under: uncultured archaeon
Lineage: Archaea
Description: bacterial SSU rRNA
Rfam family: Archaeal small subunit ribosomal RNA
Source: RNAcentral